RNAcentral lists this ribosomal RNA (910 nucleotides) under Nasutitermes takasagoensis. Its description in RNAcentral is "eukaryotic LSU rRNA". The stretch from base 448 to 603 matches the Rfam family "5.8S ribosomal RNA". Lineage: Eukaryota; Metazoa; Arthropoda; Insecta; Blattodea; Termitidae. The record is from RNAcentral.
UUAACGGCACUGCCGAGAAAGAACAGAGACAGAGAGAGUCUACGAAGUAGACUAAGGGUCGGGCCUCGCACGCCACCGGCAACUUGCCGGCUAGCGGUUCAAUGACGGUUGGCUACCACCAGAACCGCGCGGCGUGACGGGCGCUCGAACCCAUGAUGAGCUUGAACGAAAUGAUGAGGGGCGAGCCUCGCACGCCACCGGCAACUUGCCGGCUAGCGGUUCAAUGACGGUUGGCUACCAGCAGAAUCGCGCGGCGUGACGGGCGCUUUGGCCCCUCAGCUUGAACGAUGUGAGAAGCCUUUGAACGACCUGACGCGCACGAGUCCCUGCGCUUCGCGGGCUGCGUCCUGGUGUGACCUUCCUGGUGAAGGCGCGCCGGCGGCGCUGCACGUGGAUAAAAGGGACCUGACCUGUCCGAUGAUUAUGCCAUUCGGCAAACAAACUCACAACCCUGAACGGUGGAUCACUCGGCUCGUGGGUCGAUGAAGAACGCAGCAAAUUGCGCGUCGACAUGUGAACUGCAGGACACAUGAACAUCGACGUUUCGAACGCACAUUGCGGUCCUUGGAUUUCCAAUCCCGGACCACGCCUGGCUGAGGGUCGGCCUACUGAAACCACUGGGCCCGCCGCGUGUGAUGCGCGGCGGGCCCGAAGUUGAGGGCACGCGCGCGCGCAUGUCGCCGCACGACGCUCUUUAAGAACGAGACCGCGCCGCCGCGGACAGACGCGCCCUCCGGCGCCCGGCUUGAUACAGGGAGAAAUCCCGAACACUUGAACGACAGCCGGGCACAAAAAUUGCAGAUCUCUGCAGACGAGGGCAAGGGCGACUGCUCCGCGCGCGGUGGCGUCAGAAAACAAACUUUCCGACCUCAGAUCAGGCGAGACUACCCGCUGAAUUUAGCAUAUUACU